GAGUGGCAGACGGGUGAGUGACGCGUAGGAAUCUACCUCUUGGUGGGGAAUAGCCCCGCGAAAGCGGGGGUAAUACCGCAUAAUGUGCUUCGGCAUUAAAGGGCGUAACUGCCCGCCGGGAGAGGAGCCUGCGUCCUAUCAGCUUGUUGGUGGGGUAAUGGCCUACCAAGGCGAUGACGGGUAGCCGGUGUGAGAGCACGACCGGCCACAAGGUCACUGAGACACGGGGCCUACACCUACGGGUGGCAGCAACCGGGAAUAUUGCGCAAUGGGCGAAAGCCUGACGCAGCGACACCGCGUGUGGGAUGAAUGCCUUCGGGUUGUAAACCACUGUGGCGAGGGAGGAAGUUCUGACAGUACCUCGCUAGAAAGCACCUGCUAACUACGUGCCAGAAGCCUCGGCAAUACGUAGGGUGCAAGCGUUAUCCGGAUUUACUGGGCGUAAAGGGUUUCGCAGGUGGAUUAGUUAGUCCAAUCUUAAAGGCUACGGCUCAACUGUAGAAAUGGAUUGGAUACUGCUAGUCUAGAGGACAUCAGGGGAGACUGGAAUUCUCGGUGGAGGGGUGAAAUCCGUUGAUAUCGAGAGGAACGUCGAUGGCGAAGGCAAGUCUCUGGGGUGUUCCUGACACUCAUGUACGAAAGCUAGGGUAGCAAACGGGAUUAGAGACCCCGGUAGUCCUAGCCGUAAACGAUGGAUACUAGUUGCUUGGCAUUCGUGCCGGGUGGCGUAAGCUAACGCGUUAAGUAUCCCGCCUGGGUAGUACGGUCGCAAGGCUAAAACUCAAAGGAAUUGACGGGGAUCUGCACAACCAGUGGAGCAUGUGGUUUAAUUCGAUACAAAGCGAAGGACCUUACCUGGACUUGACAUGUAUCUGCACGCCCUGUGAAAGCAGGGAAGCCUUCGAGGGUGAUACACAGGUGUUGCAUGGCUGUCGUCAGCUCGUGUCGUGAGACGUCUGCUUAAGUGCAGUAACGAGCGCAACCCCUGUCCUGUGUUGUAUUUCUCACGGGAGACUGCCUUACAGCAAGUAGGGAGGAAGGAGGGGACGACGUCAAGUCAGCAUGACCCUUACGUCCAGGGCAACACACAUCCUACAAUGGGGAGGACAACGGGUAGCGACGGGGUAACCCUGAGCCAAUCCUUCAAACCUCCUCUCAGUUCGGAUUGUAGGCUGCAACUCGCCUACAUGAAGUCGGAAUUGGUAGUAAUCGCAGGUCAGCAGACUGCGGUGAAUACGUUCUCAGAUCUUGUACACACUGCCCGUCACGCCAGCAAAGUCGGCAGAGCCCGAAGCGGGAGUUCCUAACCAUGCUCGCAUGGAUGGACCCUUCUAAGGCUAGGUCGGCGAUGAGGACGAAGUCGUAACAAGGUAACC
Molecule: ribosomal RNA, 1376 nt
Filed under: uncultured bacterium
Lineage: Bacteria
Description: 16S ribosomal RNA
Rfam family: Bacterial small subunit ribosomal RNA
Source: RNAcentral